GCACAAGGCAUCUCUCCCCAUGAGAGGCAAGGUGUUGGAACACUGGCAUUUUAAUGAACAAAACAAAACCUUGCGUUGUUUAUCAGGUCAUAGGUUUUGAGGAAGCAGCGCUGUCCAUUUAAAGGGGACACUGUGGAUUUUAAUUGGCUUUAGUGAGUUCUUGAAGACAGCAGAGAGGACUUGGAACCUUAAGGUAGAUGAUUAUUGACAGAGUUUGGUGGUGGCAUUUUCCUGGCGAGAACUGGUGGUGAGGUCAUUGUUCAAGGUGUAGGAAACUGGCUAUUCGAUGUCUUUCAGGGUAGCUGCAGAUGUAGGAGGAGUGUGCCCUGAAGACUAGGCAGAGAGGGAAGUGUGACUGGGGAGUUUGGGGUGUGUUGUGCACCAGCAGUGUGCUCCCAGCGUGCAAAUAAUGCAAGAUAUUUCUGUGGGUUUAGUCUUAAUUGAUUCAUUCUAUCAGAAGGCUGGAAUAGAAUUGGAUUCAAACUUACAACCUAUGCGUCUGCAAAUGAUAAAACAGUCAGUUUUGCAGCGCUGAUUGUUUUUUUCUGGCCGACUAGAAAAGUAGUCAGUUUGUGUAGAAUCACACCUGCUUGUCCAACAACUCGGCUGAAGGCGCAGCUGAACACAUCUUUAAAUUUUGCUGUGUGUUUUCUUCUGCUUUUACUGAAAGUUGGGAUAGUUUGCCAAAUAUAUUGAUCCCCCAUAUGCUUUUAAGGAUAAAUGAUCGCAUCCAUUGGGCUAUAUAAGUGCAGGGUCUUUUAAUGUUUAUUUUAGAGAGUAUCAGGUUUUCCAGAGACACACACACACACAGCUCUGCAGGAUGGCGUCCAGUGGUAGCCCAAGAGACAUGACUCUUUUCUUUAUGACUGAAGCUCAGAUUCUUGUGAUGUGUUUCCUGAUCACGUUUGAAUUCACACAGCUACUUAGCGUGAUGAUAGCCUUACUGCCUUCACUCAUCAGUGUUACUUUAAUCUAGCACACGGAAGUGGUACAAGUCGUGCAUGGAUUAUUAUGGUAUAGUACUAAAUUUGAGUUUUUUUAAAGCAUGAAGGUAGAUACUGUGGUGCAGUUCAUUACAUGAUAUGAUGUUGUUGUUGUUUUGGUACCAGAGAUUGAACUCAGGACCUUGCGCUUGUGAGGCAGGAGGCAGAAGCACUGAGCUAAAUCCCUGGCCCCAUGAUAUGAUUUAAUUGUGAUCUUAAACUCCAUAUAUUUAUGCUAAGGAUGAUUUGUGCGUUUUGCCAGCAUGGGUGCAAAGUCCUUAGGGUUUGUGAACAGGAUUAGUACUUUCACUGCCAGGCUGUCUUUUGCCACCGAAGUUUGAUGGACGUUGGUGGGCAGUUAAUGACUUUGAAAGCAUGCUGUUGAUGUUGGCUGUAAUGAAAGUGCCCAGUAUUGAAAGAGUGAAGCGGAGUGGCGUUGGCUGCACUGGCUGGCGGAGGGGAUGCAUCCCAAAUGUUUCCUGGCCGCCCGCCCGAAGCUGCCUGCGGUUUCCUGGCUCCUCACCGGCUGCCCCCUGCCCGACCAGGACCCGGACCCUGCUCUCCGGCCACUGCUGCUCCUGCACCCAUGCUGUGGCUGGAGUUUGGCUUUGAGUUUUGCGCCUAAGUUGCCCGAGGGAGGGACUCCGGAGUCGGGCCGUGUUUCCCUGUCUUCGGCGGUGGCCGCAUCCCCCCUGCAGAGCAGAGCCCCCACCCGAAGCAUGCUCUGAGCCCCCAGCCCCAUCCCCAUCCCAGCAGUGACACCGAUAUUUGCUGGCUUAGGCUCCGCGCCAGUCCUACCUCAGUUCAGGGGAGCCGGGUGUGGGGAGGGGCCACUCGGGCUGCGUGUCUGGGGCCUGCAACUCUGGCUUUGGAAGAGCAUAGCGGGACUGCAGUCACUCUAUGUGGGGAGACCUGGGAUUGAACUUGGAAGACAGAGCCACAGAGUAGUUGGUGUCUCUGCAGCCCCUCAGUGUCAGAGCAUGGGGUGGAGAGAGGCCCCGGAGGGCAUGGAGAGCUCUUGACCCCUGACUGCUGCAUGGACGCCAGGCAGGUACCUCUGCAGGCAGAAGCCACUGCCACUGGCUCAGCUGUCUGUUGUCCCGCCGAGGACUGGCCUUUCCUUAACCAAAAGUGCAUGUGGGCAGCAAGCGAUUCCAGGCUGGUCUGGGUUUGGCAGAUUUUGUGUUUAAAAUGUAUUAUGAUCUUUAAAUAUGCCAGUCUGAUGUUGGCCACCAAGGCUACCCUGAAUUGAGAGAGAGAGAGCGCAUUCUGGCUCCCUCGCUGGUCAUGGGAAAGAUAAAGAAGGAAAGCAGUCUUGCAGGACGCCGUGCUUGUCAGAGAAACCCUCGACAGGAGGGGCACCCUGCUUCUCUGGUCAGUGUUCUGGAGAUGCCAGUGUGGUGGCCGCAACGGAAGCCAUCCCUGUCCCAGAGGCUCCGGACUCGUGGCUGGACCCCGCCCCAGUGCCUGUCUCCCCUGUCGUCCUGUAGAGGCCCCACUAAUUCUUGGAGAUGUGACUUGUUCAUUGGUUUCUUCUGUUGUUACUUUUUGUUUUGGAGAAAAAAAUAUUAUAUAUAUAUAUAAAUAUAUAGAUCUAUAUCAUUAUAGAGUAAUGCAUUAAUGAGGCUUUGUAGAGGAAGACCAAAAAUUUCAAUGUCUUAAGAUGUAUUUAAUGGCAAUGCAAAAGUCUUCCUGCUUUCGUGCUGAACUCUUUAGAAGCGAGGACUGUACUGCAAGACGAAGUUGAAUGUAAAGUGCUCCUGACCAUUUCUGAGGUUUUGCUUCUCUGAGCUACGCGUCGCAGCCAUGCAUAGUUGGUUUGAAGGCCGACUCCAUGUAUGAUACGCUUUGCUAAGAUGUGUAGAAUGUUCUGGAGCUUUCUCUCGUUAGGAAUCGGUGGGCGCAGCACCGUGGGCCGGAAGGGAACCUCAGCUGGCGCUCCCCACGCCCCGUGCAGCCUAAAUGAGCAGCCAAGAAGCUGAUAAUAUAUACUGAAUUUUCCUCUAUCCUGUACAUUUCAAAAAAAGGCACAUGCAAUAUUUACAUGUUUUAUUUAGUUUACAGAACGGAACCAAAAUGUAUGUUAUGUUUGCAAAAAUUUCACAAUGUAUAUUGGGUCUUUGUACAUUUUGCCUGACUUACCUUAAAUUUAAACUAUUUUUUGCUAUAUAAACUUUAACCGUUAUUAAACAGUGUUUUCUUUUGGGUAUGUAUUGUUUCUGGAUCUGGAGCUGUUAAAUAUAUUUCUUGCUAUUGUGUUAUGUCAGCACCUCCCCCCCAUCUUCCAUGCUGUACAUAGGGUUGGGAAUGAGCCAGGCUAGAGUAGUGCAUUGUAUUUAGUCUGUAUUGAUCAUGGAUACCCUCCUGAAUAGCCAUAUGCAAUAAAUAAAAUAAAUACAUUAUUUAUGAAAUGAAUAAAGC
Molecule: long non-coding RNA, 3404 nt
Organism: Heterocephalus glaber (naked mole-rat)
Lineage: Eukaryota; Metazoa; Chordata; Mammalia; Rodentia; Bathyergidae
Source: Ensembl